CUGGCCACCCAUGCUUCUAGGGGCUGCAGGGACCUGGUGGCUGCUUCCCAGGAGAUGUGAUUCCUGAUUUUCCGGCUCGCUUUUCCUUGCAGGAUCUGUGCCCCACAGCUCCAACACUAUGGCUGAGAGGAGCCCGGGAGGAGAGCUGAUGCUGUGCAGUGCAGGCUGGCAUUGCAGGGUUCCUCUCCUUUUGGAAAUGUUUCAGAAGGAAGAAUCCAGUCUCCAGUCCCAGGACUGAGCCCUAGGGAAACACGUAGACAUCAACAGAGUGUCCACACUAGCCUUUACCAACAUGUUACCUGCCUCAGCUUAACUGGCAAACGCCUAACCAGAGGUAGAAAAGGCCAGUGUAGACAAACCUUGGGAACUUGGGGGCCCUGCUCUGUUCUAUUCAGUACAGACACUCCAUCUCUCUGAGCACCAGCCAAGAGUGCAUUGCAUCCCAUGACUGGCAUCUGCCAUGUGUGGUUCUCUUAAAGGAGAAGUUGGGGGCAGAGGUUAAUAUAUUUUGUGUACUCUGUGCCAUGUCGCCAAUCCCAAGUGAUCAAACAUCAAGAAUCAGGCCCCAAAAACUCAUGAGCCUGUC
Malaclemys terrapin pileata is the source of this 586-nucleotide long non-coding RNA. RefSeq lists it as uncharacterized. The transcript has 3 exons. Lineage: Eukaryota; Metazoa; Chordata; Testudines; Emydidae. The record is from RefSeq and is a predicted model, not a curated record.